UUGGUUCCUCAUUGAAGAUUG
Molecule: non-coding RNA, 21 nt
Organism: Caenorhabditis elegans
Lineage: Eukaryota; Metazoa; Nematoda; Chromadorea; Rhabditida; Rhabditidae
Source: Ensembl